GCUGGGUUUAGAACGUCGUGAGACAGUUCGGUCCCUAUCUGCUGUGGGCGUAGGACAUUUGAAGGGAGCUGCUCCUAGUACGAGAGGACCGGAGUGGACGAAUCCCUGGUGAUCCAGUUGUCUCGCCAGAGGCAUUGCUGGGUAGCUACAUUCGGAAAGGAUAACCGCUGAAAGCAUCUAAGCGGGAAGCCCCCCCUAAGACGAGAUGUCCCUUCCGCUUUCGGGCGGACUUAAGACCCCUCGUAGACUACGAGGUUGAUAGGCCGGGUGUGUAAGUGCGGCGACGCAUUCAGCUUACCGGUACUAAUCGGUCGUGAGGCUUGACCAU
Molecule: ribosomal RNA, 328 nt
Filed under: bacterium
Lineage: Bacteria
Description: partial 23S ribosomal RNA
Rfam family: Bacterial large subunit ribosomal RNA
Source: RNAcentral